GGCAACUGCACUUCCCCUCAUCUGAGGAAGGAUGUUUGACGGAGCCCAGAUGGUUGAGUGGCCAGCUACCCUAAGAUUUGGGGAAGAUGAUCAAAGAUACGGACUGGCUUUUGCAAAGGCCCUGAGGCAGAAAUAAGAGACAGAAACAGAAAUCCAACUGGCCUCUUCUGGUGGCCACCAUUCCUGAGUGAUAGCAGAGCUUUAGAAAGAGGGGAAUGGAAAUUUCCCAGAUACUUAUGCACCCCCCCGCCCCGCCCACAACUGCAAAUGCCAGGGGAUGGUGGGUGCCUUGAACCGGGGGUGGGAAGAGGAGCUGCAGACAGGGGGUCUAACAUAGGGAAUGGGAACGGAGCAGAUCCUUCACCCAGGUCCCACGCUCGUGGUCCAUUUGGUCUUGGAGAGCCACCCGGAAGCAGUGGCCUGGAUCCGGGCGAGGGCAGCGCCUCCUCCGCGUCCGCAGGAAGCCACCCGGCAUCAGGAGCGCCCGGGACCUAGGUCUACAUUGCAUCCCCGGUCUGGGAUGCGGUUUAAACAACCGACUAACGAACGGGAAGGGCAGUCGGCGGCCGACUGAGAUCCACCGCUGUUUGGACACCGCUCAGGAGCUACAAAGCAGGCCGGAAAAAGGGGGCCCGGCUCCUUCGCGAGUUUGUUUUUCGCUCGGGCUGAGACAGGAAGCGAGGAGACCAGGGGGACCCCAACUCCUUCCUGCACGAAUAUAAAAUGACCGCAUAGCUCAGCUCCAAAAGAGUCGUGCUCCAGGUGAGGCUCGAACUCACAACCUCGGCAUCGCUCUGCAUGUACUGCUGUAUAAGUACCGCGCGCUAACCGAUUGCGCCACUGGAGCUCCGCUAAGCCGGCCUCGCGAAGGCUCUAUCAGGCCCAGGGAGGCGUCAGUGGAGCAUGCGCAGCCGCCACCGGCGGGCUCCGCUCGAGACUCCAGCCUUCCGCAACUUCAGAACAGACUUACGGCUACGAGCCGGUGUCUGGGGACCGGUGGAUCCAGGAGCGACUGGACGAGGGUCCCACGAGGGGCUCGCACGGCCAAGCCUGCGGGCGAGCGACGGCAUCCUCUGCGGGGCUUCGCUCCGUGAGAUCCAGCCCCCGGCACGCGCAGACCGGCCUGGCAGGGGCGGACCGAGCGACCCCGCGGCUGCCGUCCUCGGGAAGCGAACCCGGAUCCCCGACCCGCCCUUCCGAUGGCGAGAAGGCGAACCGCGCAGACAGCCCCGGCGGGCGGCUCAGCCCGAGGGGCCUCGGGGGUCCAAGCUGCAGCCAGCGUUGCAUCAUGGUUAUGUAUUAAGAAGUGCAAAUGUUGCUGUACAGAAGCCAAAUCCUACACGAGGAGCCCCAGAGCAGUCACCAUGGGCAGACAGCUGGUAUCUUGAUACUACUGUGGGUACUGGUCACAAACACCCAGGAGCUUCCAAAACGGUUCUGUCAAAUUGGAAGAUCUGCAGAAUUAUUUUAGGGUUUUGGUUUUUGCUGCAUAGUUGGUUGCUUUCUUGAGCAGAAAGCAACAAGUGCUUGUGCUCAGGUCACUUUCUCCUCUUUAUACACUCCAGGGUGGCCCAGGGAAUGGCGCCACCCACAGCGGGUGUGUUUUCCCAAAUGAAGGCACUCCUGAACAGAUAUUGAGUCUUAGUUUGAUUUCUAUUGUUGUGAUAAAGAUCAUUACCAAAAGCAACUUGGAAAGGAAAGAGUUUACUUGGCUUACACAUUCUGAUUAUUGUCGAUCUUUGAGGAAAGUUAGGAUAGAAACUCAAGGCAGAAUCAGGAACUGUUUCAAAAACCAUAGAGGAGUGCUGCUUACUGGCUCACUCUCCAGGGUUUGCUCAGUUUAGUUUCUUAAACAACCCAGGACCACCUGCCUAGGGGUGACACCACCCACAGUGGGCUGGCCCUCCUAUAUCAAUCAUUAAUCAAUAAAAAGCCCACAAACAUUGCCUACAAGCCAAUCUGAUGGAGGCAACUUAUCAGCUGAUAGUCCCUCUUCCCAGAUGACUGUAGCCUGUACCAAGUCACCAAAAAACAAAACAAAACAAAACAAAAACAAACAAACCUAGCCAGCACACAUUCUCAAAGGUUAAACUUAAUCUACAGCAGUGGUUCUCAACUUUCCUAACACUGCGAUUCUUUAAUACAGUUCCUCGUGUGGUGACCCUCAACCAUAAAAUUAUUUUUGUUGCUACUUCAUAAAUGUAUUUUUGCUACUGUUACAAAUUAUAAUGUAAAUAUCUGAUACGCAGGCUCUCUGAUAUACGACCCCUGUGAAAGGGGGCCGAAUGACCAACUGGUUGAGAACUGAUCUGGAUAAUUCUUCAUAGGUGUGCCUGAAAGCUUGCAUUCUAAGAGAUUCUAGAUUCUGUCAUCAAGUUGACGACCACUGUUAACAACUACACCUUCCGUCUUCCAGAGCUCCAUGUCCCAACCCCUAGAAUCCACAAGUACAUUAUCUUAGGCCUUAAAGGGGAUUUUGUAGAUUACACUGAAGACACAGGAUGGGAAGAAGGUCAUGGUUCAUCCUGAGUGGGUCUUAUAGAAUCCCUGGGACUCUCAUGAUGGAGAGGAGGAUGAAGAGUCAGGGGAGUGACAAUGUGGUGACAAUGACAAAGGAUGGAGGUGUGCCUUAACAAAGCAGUGAUAAUGUUGGGCAGGGAGUUAGGUAUGAGGUAACUAAGGAAAACCACAGCUGGAUCUUGGGAACUGUGAUUCUCACAGCAUCUCUUCUGGUGAAAAAUCCUUGAGGCUGCAGUUGGGUUGUUUCUGUUAGAUUGGAAAACAAUGCAUUUUUCACACAUGUGCGAUAGCGAAGGGUCUGCAUCUACCAAAGACCCUGCCUUCCUUAUAACAUCAUUUGCACUGUGGCCCUUGACCCUCUCCCUGUGUGGGUUUUCCUAGAGGAACAUGGGGGAAAAUAUCCAGAAGUGGAGAUCCUGUCCACUGUUUUUUGAGAGGGAAAGGGGUCAUCUUACCCCAUGACAUUGUCAACCACCUCAUAAAUAUUUAUAAAAUAUCCACAGCUGUGCCACCUACCUAAUAAAUAUUCAUAAAUAAUAAAAUUUUGCUUAAAUUGUUCUCUUGCCUGAGAACUGAGAGCCCCAUACCCAUAACAGCAGGAUUGAUCAAGCCAAGGAAUACAGGCAGCUUCCAGAAUGUAGAAAGACACAGAGCAGUCUGCCAGAGUAGAUGAAGCUUUAACAAUACCUAGACAUUCACCAUUCAGACUGGCAUUAUUUUAAACUCCAAGAUCAUAAAUUGAUGUACAUGAUGAGGCAUUGCUUUCUUUCUUUUUUUUUUUCAUUACUGAAUCUAGGGCAUUGUGCAUACUAGGCGAGUGUUUUACCAUUGAGCUAUAUUCCCUUCCCCUUUAAAUAAAAAAAUUUUAUCACAUUUA
This 3397-nucleotide transfer RNA is filed under the name Cricetulus griseus (Chinese hamster). RNAcentral's name for it is "lncRNA (ENSCGRG00015031927.1)". Lineage: Eukaryota; Metazoa; Chordata; Mammalia; Rodentia; Cricetidae. The record is from RNAcentral.